RNA transcript from Mastomys coucha (southern multimammate mouse), 1555 nucleotides. It is a transcript of the gene named perilipin-2 pseudogene, with no coding region annotated. The record is from RefSeq and is a predicted model, not a curated record. NCBI's taxonomy places the organism in Eukaryota, Metazoa, Chordata, Mammalia, Rodentia, Muridae. The transcript has a single exon.
AUGGCAUCAGCAGCAGUGGAUCCACAACCAAGCCUGGUGAUGAGGGUAGCCAACCUGCCCUUGGUGAGCUCUACCUACAACCUCGUGUCCUCCGCUUAUGUCAGUACAAAGGAUCAGUACCCGUAUUUGAGAUCCGUGUGUGAGAUGGCAGAGAAGGGUGUGAAGACUGUGACCUCUGUGGCUGUGACAAGCGCCCUGCCCAUUAUCCAGAAGCUAGAGCCUCAAAUUGCGGUUGCCAAUACCUAUGCCUGCAAAGGCCUGGACAGGAUGCAGGAAAGACUGCCCAUUCUGAACUAGCCAACAUCUGAGAUUGUUGCCAAUGCCAGAGGUGCUGUAACGGGGGUGAAGGAUGUAGUGAUGGCUACUAUGGCUGGAGCCAAGGAUUCUGUAGCCAGCACAGUCUCAGGGGUGGUGGAUAAGACCAAAGGAGCAGUUACUGGCAGCAUGGAAAGGACCAAGUCUGUGUGUGGUCAAUGGCAGCAUCAAUAUGGUUUUGGGAAUGGUACAGCUCGUGAACAGUGGAGUAGAUAAUUCAAUUACCAAGUUGGAGCUGCUGGUAGACCUCUCACUCAGAAGGAGCUGGAGAUGGAAGCAAAAAAGGUGGAAGGAUUUGAUAUGGUUCAAAAGCCGAGAUGUUAUGAAUGGCUGGAGUCCCUGUCCACCAAGCUCUGCUCUCAGGUUAUCACCAGGCUCUCAGCAGGGUAAAAGAAGCCAAACAAAAGAGCCAGGAGACCAUUUCUCAGCUCCACUCCACUGUCAAUAUGAUUGAAUUCACCAGGAAGAAGAUACACAGUGCCAACCAGAAAAUUCAGGGUGCUCAGGAUAAGCUCUAUGUCUCAUGGGUGGAGUUGAAGAGAAGCAUCGGCUAAGAUGACACCGAUGAGUCCCACUGUGCUGAGCACAUCGAGUCACGUACUCUGGCUAUUGCCUGCAACCUGACCCAGCAGCUCCAGACUACAUGCCAGGCUGUCCUGGUCAACGCCCAAGGAUUACCACAGAACAUUCAAGAUCAGGCCAAACAAUUGGGGGUGAUGGCCGGCGACAUCUACUCGGUGUUCCACAAUGCUGCCUCCUUUAAGGAAGUGUCUGAUGGCGUCCUCACUUCCAGCAAGGGGCAGCUGCAGAAAAUGAAGGAAUCCUUAGAUGAAGUUAUGGAUUACUUUGUUAACAACACGCCUCUCAACUGGCUGGUAGGUCCCUUUUAUCCUCAGUCUACUGAGGUGGACAAGGCCAGCCUGAAGAUCCAACAGUCUUGGCUCAAAGCCUAGUAAACCUGUCCUUGUCACCAGUGCAUGAUGUUGCUGGCCAGGUGACACCUUUUGCUGUAUUGAAAUUAACCUGAUAGAUGGCUUUACAUUAGAAAAGCAGCUAGUUGGAACAAAGGUCCUCAUUAUGAUCAUUCACAGCUCAAUUAUGGUCCUGCCCCAGCUGGCUCUGACACGAGUUCUUUUUACCUGGCUGGAAAGCGGUGUGUGUUAGUCUUGUGAGGACCUCACUAGAACCCAAAAGCUCAGGUGCACUUACAGCCUUGCAUGUGGCCUUUGUGUUAUUGGCU